AUUGAACGCUGGCGGAAUGCUUUACACAUGCAAGUCGAACGGUAGAGGGGGCAACCCCUUGAGAGUGGCGAACGGGUGAGUAAUAUAUCGGAACGUGCCCAGUCGUGGGGGAUAACGUAGCGAAAGUUACGCUAAUACCGCAUACGAACUAAGGUUGAAAGUGGGGGAUCGCAAGACCUCAUGCUCAUGGAGUGGCCGAUGUCGGAUUAGCUAGUAGGUGAGGUAAAGGCUCACCUAGGCGACGAUCCGUAGCGGGUCUGAGAGGAUGAUCCGCCACACUGGGACUGAGACACGGCCCAGACUCCUACGGGAGGCAGCAGUGGGGAAUUUUGGACAAUGGGGGCAACCCUGAUCCAGCCAUGCCGCGUGAGUGAAGAAGGCCUUCGGGUUGGUUAAAGGACUCUUUUCCUAGCCGGGAAGGAAAGUACGGACGGCCUCUAACAUA
This 445-nucleotide ribosomal RNA is filed under the name uncultured bacterium. Its description in RNAcentral is "bacterial SSU rRNA". It matches the Rfam family "Bacterial small subunit ribosomal RNA", at positions 30 to 476 of the family's 1533-position model. The record is from RNAcentral.